CUACGGGUCGCUGCAGUGGGGAAUAUUGCACAAUGGGCGCAAGCCUGAUGCAGCCAUGCCGCGUGUAUGAAGAAGGCCUUCGGGUUGUAAAGUACUUUCAGCGGGGAGGAAGGGAGUAAAGUUAAUACCUUUGCUCAUUGACGUUACCCGCAGAAGAAGCACCGGCUAACUCCGUGCCAGCAGCCGCGGUAAAUACGGAGGGUGCAAGCGUUAAUCGGAAUUACUGGGCGUAAAGCGCACGCAGGCGGUUUGUUAAGUCAGAUGUGAAAUCCCCGGGCUCAACCUGGGAACUGCAUCUGAUACUGGCAAGCUUGAGUCUCGUAGAGGGGGGUAGAAUUCCAGGUGUAGCGGUGAAAUGCGUAGAGAUCUGGAGGAAUACCGGUGGCGAAGGCGGCCCCCUGGACGAAGACUGACGCUCAGGUGCGAAAGCGUGGGGGGCAAACAGGAUUAGAUACCCUAGUAGUC
This 465-nucleotide ribosomal RNA is filed under the name uncultured bacterium. Its description in RNAcentral is "partial 16S ribosomal RNA". It matches the Rfam family "Bacterial small subunit ribosomal RNA", at positions 339 to 795 of the family's 1533-position model. The record is from RNAcentral.